AAUAAGUGCAGUCGUGGAUAUCCGUGCCCAACGUUUGACCGUUCGUCUUAUUUGAAAAAUUUAAAAAUAUUUAGUCACACAUAAAGUACUAUUCAUGUUUUAUCUAAUAGCAAUAAAAAUACUAAUCAUAAAAAAAUUUCAAAUAAGACGAACGGUCAAACGUUGAACGUAAAUAGUGCAAAACUGCACUUAUU
RNAcentral lists this microRNA precursor (194 nucleotides) under Oryza meridionalis. RNAcentral describes it as "MIR812 microRNA precursor family". It matches the Rfam family "MIR812 microRNA precursor family". Lineage: Eukaryota; Viridiplantae; Streptophyta; Magnoliopsida; Poales; Poaceae. The record is from Rfam by way of RNAcentral.